RNAcentral lists this ribosomal RNA (324 nucleotides) under uncultured eukaryote. RNAcentral's name for it is "partial 18S ribosomal RNA". It matches the Rfam family "Eukaryotic small subunit ribosomal RNA", at positions 1470 to 1796 of the family's 1831-position model. The record is from RNAcentral.
CCCUUAGAUGUCCUGGGCUGCACGCGCGCUACACUGAUGCGCUCAACGAGUUUCUUCCUGGUCCGAGAGGAAUGGGUAACCUUUUGAAAGUGCAUCGUGAUAGGGAUAGACUAUUGCAAUUAUUGGUCUUCAACGAGGAAUUCCUAGUAGACGUAGUUCAUCAGACUGCAUCGAUUACGUCCCUGCCCUUUGUACACACCGCCCGUCGCUCCUACCGAUUGAAUGCUCAGGUGAGCCAUUCGGACUUUCAUCAUGCUGGUUUCCAGUUUUGAUGAAGGAAAGUCUUGCGAACCUUAUCAUUUAGAGGAAGGAGAAGUCGUAACA